ACAGUCUGGCUGUGUUUUGCGAUAACACUACCCACCCGUAUACUAUAGAUGGAAAUGCCACACUGGACGCCCUGGUACGUUUGGCACAGUCUCAAAGUCCAUCCCUAUCAUCAAUAUAUUAUUACUUUACUUGGUAUAACGUAUUCGAGAACUCUACAGAACGUGCUGACGAUGUGCAUACCUACAAUACAUUUUGUACCCCCGAUCCUACUGCGACAGUUUUCCAGACACUUCCUCGAAUCGGCUUUUAUCUAACGGCUUACAAAAUGACUUUAUUUAC
Dermacentor silvarum is the source of this 280-nucleotide long non-coding RNA. RefSeq lists it as uncharacterized. The transcript is spliced from 3 exons. Lineage: Eukaryota; Metazoa; Arthropoda; Arachnida; Ixodida; Ixodidae. The record is from RefSeq and is a predicted model, not a curated record.